This 272-nucleotide unclassified non-coding RNA is filed under the name uncultured Lactarius. Its description in RNAcentral is "sequence contains ITS2". Lineage: Eukaryota; Fungi; Basidiomycota; Agaricomycetes; Russulales; Russulaceae. The record is from RNAcentral.
AAAUCUCAACCUUCUUGGUUCCUUCUGGACACCAAAGGAGGCUUGGACUUUGGAGGCCUUUGCUGGCGUCUCUCUCUUUUGAAGGCCAGCUCCUCCUAAAUUGAUUAGUGGGGUCCUCUUUGCCAAUCCUUGACAUGUGAUAAGAUGUUUUCCAUGUCUUGGCUUCUGGCUCUGUUGCCUUUGGGACCCGCUUCUAACCGUCUCAGCCUUGUGCAUCGAGACAACGUUUGAGCGUGUCUCCCUUCUCGGGAAAUGCUCUCAACCCCAUGAAC